GACGAACGCUGGCGGCGUGCCUAAUACAUGCAAGUUGAGCGCUCAAGGGUGGUGCUUGUACCAAUUGGGUUAGCAGCGAACGGGUGAGUAACGCGUGGGUAACCCGCCUUUGAGCGGGGGACAACAUUUGGAAACGAGUGCUAAUACCGCAUAAUAUAUUUAAACACAAGUUUCAAGUUUGAAAGAUGGUUUUGCUUUCCUCUAAGAUGAUCUCGCUUCCGAAUAGCUAAGUGGGGAGGUAAAGGCUCACCAAGGCGAAGAGUCAUAGCCGACCUGAGAGGGGGAUCGGCCACAUUGGGACUGAGACACGGCCCAAACCCCUACGGGAGGCAGCAGGAGGGAAACUUCGGCAAUGGACGGAAGGCUGACCGAGGAACGCCGCGGGAGGUGAGGAAGGUGUCGGGUCGUAAAACUCGGUUGGUAGAGAAGAACGUAAGUGGGAAUGGAAAGCGCAUCAAGUGACGGUAACUACUCAGAAAGCGACGGCUAACUACGUG
Molecule: ribosomal RNA, 497 nt
Filed under: uncultured bacterium
Lineage: Bacteria
Description: partial 16S ribosomal RNA
Rfam family: Bacterial small subunit ribosomal RNA
Source: RNAcentral